RNAcentral lists this ribosomal RNA (403 nucleotides) under uncultured bacterium. Its description in RNAcentral is "partial 16S ribosomal RNA". It matches the Rfam family "Bacterial small subunit ribosomal RNA", at positions 30 to 526 of the family's 1533-position model. The record is from RNAcentral.
AUUGAACGCUGGCGGCAGGCCUAACACAUGCAAGUCGAGCGAGCGGCGGACGGGUGAGUAAUGUAUGGGGACUGCCCGAUAGAGGGGGAUAACUACUGGAAACGGUAGCUAAUACCGCAUACUAUCGGAUAACCCAUAUGGGAUUAGCUAGUAGGUGAGGUAAUGUCUCACCUAGGCGACGAUCCGUAGCUGGACUGAGAGGAUGAUCAGCCACAAGGGGACUGAGAAACGGCCCAGAGUCCGACGGAGGCAGCAGUGGGGAAUAUUGCACAAUGGGCGCAAGCCUGAUGCAGCCAUGCCGCGUGUAUGAAGAAGGCCCUAAAGUUGUAAAGUACUUUCAGUCGGGAGGCGUUGCCGACAGAAGAAGCACCGGCUAACUCCGUGCCAGCAGCCGCGGUAAUUC